CUCUAACUUUGAUUCCAUUUGACCUGUUUAUAGCCUGCAUAUUCUAGCUUUGGGGGCCUUUUUUUCACUGAUACCAUGUAGACACUAUUUGACAGAACAGGUUUCUUUACAGAACAGAGGGUUUUGACAUUCUGCUGCCUCUAAUAAGCUCUCCUUUCUGCUUGGCUGAGAUCACUCAGAAGAGGAAAGAAGAAACCGUUGCUUUUGCUGUCCAAUUAUUGGAAGCUAGGCCAUGCGUGACUGCUUCACCUGCGUUAUUCAACUCCUGCCUCACAGCAACCAGCACUCUUUCCAUCUUACCUGCUUUGGGUGUCUAUUUCCUACCACUGGACUUUAAGAUCCACUGGACUCUCUCUGCUGAGGACCCAUAACAAACUCCAGGACCAGUUCCUUUUUUCUCUUGCACCCUGUGGAGUAUGUUUAUUGACUACAGAUGCUAAGCACUUUGCUAAGGAACAGAAAGCUGCAAGAUAGAAUAUGUACUUCACCUGAGUGGGUGCAUGGAAACCGGCCGUGUGUCUGAAUCUGUAAGAACUCAAGUGGAACGUACGCUUACAAGUUUAAAGGUCAGAAUCACAACAUACAGACUUGAAUUGGAAUGACUGCAAGACAGCUUCAGGAUUAUAAGACUUCUAUGUAAAAGAAGUUAAUAAAAGACAUAUUAAGGUAAGUCCCUUAUAAUUAUGAUUUUGAACAAACUGCUUUAAAUUAUGCUAUAGCAUGAAAAAAAAAGGGGGGAUAUAAGAAUCGUGGGGCUCAGAGCCCAGAACAACAGCCCAGGGCAGUCAUAAAGAUGAAACUAUGCGUGCACCU
This is a non-coding RNA of Kogia breviceps (pygmy sperm whale), 813 nucleotides long. NCBI's taxonomy places the organism in Eukaryota, Metazoa, Chordata, Mammalia, Artiodactyla, Physeteridae. The record is from RefSeq and is a predicted model, not a curated record.